GUUCCUUGGACCUGUGUGGAUUUUUGUGGAAUAUUUGUUUUGGAAUAUAUUACCCCAGUGAAGAAAGGGAUGCGUCUAAAGCUCCACAGGCUACCCUGACCACUUCAACUCUCUGGACCAGCCUGAUUUCUAGCUGGAGUCUCAUCACUUGUAGAUCGUUCUCUGCUGUUGAGGAUGGACCACAUGGACAGCCUGCAGAGCAACCUCUGGACACAAAGGACGGCGCGCUGUAAGCCUGUCUCAAGCUGCCAGCCUCCUGGGUUUUGCCUCAACCCUGCACUGCAUUUGGGCACCUGCACCACUUCAUGCACUCCAUGCAUCCGCCCCACUGUUUCAUCGCACCGUAAAACCUUCACUUAACAAAGAUUCUUCUUUAAAUUUUUCGCUCACUAAAACACACUGUGAUUAAAUUUGCACCAAAGUCCACAAUCCCUGACCUCUUCCGUGUUGUGUUCAUCCCUCUCGCAGGCUGAGUCGUGACAAAGGUUAGAGAUUGUUUGAAGGUGUGUGUGGGAGUUGACCUGACACUCAUUAGGGAUCUAAAUCCAUUUCUGGACCAGGAACCAGAUUUCUUUUGCUGCUCUAUAACAUUAUGCAUUGUUAAAACUGUUAAAUAAAUACAUGUGAAUGAAACAUCUACUAUGUAUGACCUACUGUGGUGUUAAUGAUGUAGCUGGGAAUAAUGCAGUGUAACAACCUAUUUUCACAGGUAAUGCAUCAAAAGGUUUGUUGGCUAAUUAUACAGUGUGUGUUAUAUUUUUUCUUAUAAAUGUUUGUGCAUGUGUGUGCGUGUGUGUGUGUGUGUGUGUGUGUGUGUGUGUGUGUGUGUGUGUGUGUGUGUGUGUGUGUGUGUGUGUGUGUGGUUUAAGGGUUGGACAUAUUAGACAUUACAUAUCUGAUGAGUGCAACUCAUCACUGACAGACAAACAAGAUAUAUGAUAGCUGAAAUCUAUUAUAUUGAGUUCCAGGUUCUUACUGAUACUGAUGUGCUACGUGCGCAUCUGCUGGGAUUGUGUAAAUCUCCUUGUUUGCUCCAGGCUAAAAUGUGUUCCAGUGUGAUUACUUUUCUCAAUAGUGUCACAGUAGGAACAUUUUUAUUAUUAUAGUAGUAGUAUAUGUUAUUAAUAUUAUUAGUAUUAUUAUAGAGGCAAGGGGUUUCCUGGUGGUUCAGUUGCAGGCUCCUGUGCUUUCACCGAUUGGGCCGAUUCCGUCGAUUCCCCAUCGCUGGGCAGGGAACCGACUUAGCCACUAAAGGGUUAACACUCAGUGCAGUUCCCAAACCCAGAUAAAAUGGGAGUGUUGAGUCAGGAAGGGCAUCCUGUGUAAAACGUCUUCCAAAAUAAAAAUAUCCGAAUCAGAGUCUCCGCUGUGGCGACCCUGAACAGGGACCACACAAAGGACAACAGCAGCAUUAUUACAGAGGUGCAAGGUGCAUAGUUCUCGAUAAGUAGUUUGUUAUUACAUAAGUCAAGCACAUAAAAAAGAUAUAGUGUAUAUUGUUUUCCUCAGAUGCAGCUAUAACAAACAAUAAGAUGGAUAAAAUGAAGGUCUGCAGCUCCACUGUGCCUUUCACAGACCUGUUCCCAUGUAUACAUUGUGGCAGAGAUAUAUUGUUGUGUUAUUAACUGUGUGCUUGACUUUUUCUUUGAUAACCGAAAAGGAAAUAAAGGUUAAGCAAUCCUUCUUUUAGAUAUUUUCUUCAUCUUGAUUUCUGGCAUUGUUUAAGGUUAAAACAAGUCUUUUGCAUAAUGAAUUAAUGAUGCAUGCUGAAUACCGUUCUGUUAUUGUUUCUACAAAUUCCAUGGGCUUAUUUUAUAUUGUACUUAUUUUAUCUUAGAAUAUAUUUCCAGAGCGUAUAUAUAUGUAAAUAUAUACAUAUAUAAAUAUAUAAAGUUUGCAUUAAAUAAUUAAACAUUAAAUAGUCUCAAGCUUUCACAGAAGUGCGAAUUAUGGUAAAAGUGAAGGAGUACCUAUCUACUGCAUCGCUCUGUGUGUGUGUGUGUGUGUGUGUGUGUGUGUGUGUGUGUGUGUGUGUGUGUGUGUGUGUGUGUGUGUGUGUGUGAGAGAGAGAGAGAGAGAGAGAGAGAGAGAGAGAGAAUAAUUCAUACACUUAUCUUGUGUACUAGAUCUGGUUUUCUUCUUCUUUUCUGCCACCUAGAUGAAAAAUAAACCAUCAAACUUGCAUCAAGCUUGAAAAACACCAUUCUGCUGAAUGUGGCAUUUCUUUCAACGGGUGGCAGAAAGUUUUGUUCAAAAGAUGAACAAAUGCCAAGUUAAAGCCCAGACUAUGCAAUGUGCUAAACUGUAUUAUUAUUCUAUAAUCUUGGGUUUUGGAGUUGUUUUUGUUCUUGAAUUUCAUGAUCUAUUUCAAUGAAAGGUAAUUUUAUUUACAUACGCACAGGAGUGUAGGAGUUGAAAAAGUGUCCAAAAGUGUCCAUCAUCAGCAGUUUUCUGAUGAUCAUUAAUGGUUUUUUUAAUGUUUGGUUGCACCACGUCUGAUUUGGUGAUUUCAUCUGUGUUAAAAUUAAAAUUUUGCAUGUUACACAUUAUUCUGGCAGUGAUUCCUUACCUACAGACUGUAUAAACAUAUUCAUUUUCUGCUUAGCUUUAACUAAAAUCUAUA
This is a long non-coding RNA of Tachysurus fulvidraco (yellow catfish), 2623 nucleotides long. RefSeq lists it as uncharacterized. The transcript has 3 exons. Lineage: Eukaryota; Metazoa; Chordata; Actinopteri; Siluriformes; Bagridae. The record is from RefSeq and is a predicted model, not a curated record.